CAUCUUCGCUAUUCUUUAUUGUGCGUUUGCUCUGAUAAACUGAAAAAAAGUGCAGACAAUCACUACAAUCACUGAACCUGAAGAGGGAAUAAAUGUAAGGCUUACUGCCUUCACUUACUUGUGGAUGAUGUUGUGGUCAUGACAAAUCAAUUCUGGGAGGGAUUGUGGUCUUAUAAUAGCACUGUCUGUUUCACUGGAUUGACAGCAAAGCAAGUGCUGCUGAUGACUCAUGGUUGCACUUCCCCAAGAGGGUUUAGCUUUGUAAACUCCCUGAUGUGUUUUUUUCUUCUUCUUCUUCCUUUCUAAAGCUUUCAUCAGUGGGUGAAGAUGUUGACAUAAUAGGAUUCCCCUCUCCGGUUUAAUCAGUGCGCUCAUCAUGCUAAGUCCUAAUUGGACAACUGUCAAACAGCCAGGGGCUUCACUCUACAUAAUCACAGAAGUUUUUAACUGAUGUGAGCAUUCAGUGUGACGGAGAUGUCAUGUUCGGUUCAUUUUUGCUGGAAGCAUCCCUGUGGGAAGAAGCGACUGAGGAGCUGGAACAUAAAAGGAGAGUGAGAACCACAACCCUGUGGCUCCACCUAGUGUCUCACUGCCUCUCUGCAUGCACGUCCACAUAGAUCCUUUUGCAAAGGAUUGUUACAGAGUUGCACAUCCUUAAAAAAGUCCCCGGAAACAAUGGUACAAUAUAUAAAAGCACUAGUCCCAGUGAAUCAAUUACAGUUAAUUUAUUUCAGGAUAUUUUAAUCAGGAGAUUUACUUAAGUAAAAGUAUACAAGAUAAAAACAAGCUGAAGGAAAAACCAUUUUUAAUUAUAAUAGAGUGAGAAAUAUUCACGUUAAUUACAAAUCAUUGUUAUUAAUAUUAAUUAAUUAUCUAGAAAAUUUCACCCCUGUUAUUAAAGAGCCCUCAAAGUCACAUUCUAAUAAUAUUCAUAUGAACAGAAGAUGGAUAGUGUUUAUUUUCACACCAAAUGUAAGGCAGGUUUGCCAACUCUCUCCGUGUCACAAUCUUUUGUCUUCUUACACUGCUGAAAUAAAUCUCACACUGAGUUAAAUAAAUAAAUAAAAAAAAAUAAUAUUAAUAAAUGAUUAAAGCCAGUCCAUAAUGAAUUAAUGUUUGGGUCAAAAGGCAUAUUUUAGUCUUAGCAUCAGACACAAUAGACACCAGAUAAUAAAAAAAAACUCAACUAAACUAAAAAAUUAUUUUUAAUUAAAUGUAAUUAAUUAAAUUAAAGACGCCUGAUUUGCCAGUGCUGGCACAGCCCUGCCUGCGAAAGGCUGUUUAAUGAGACUCACCAGUGACUGUAGCCUAAUCCUAGUUUGACAAAAUGUUACCCUGAGGUGUUUUUGUUGCAUCCAGCUGUUUGACUUUAUUAGAAGUCUUUAUUAACACUCACACAGUUGGGACCCCUGCUGUUCGUCUGCAAAGGAAGGCAGUUGCAGCCAUCUUUGCAUGUGAAAUACUCAAUCGAUUAUUCCCCACACAACGAAACAGCGUCAGUCAGAACCCAGCGGUGACUCAUAAUCUAAUUUCCUGCAGCAGAGACAGGUGAACCGUUGCACGCACUGUUUUUUGGCCUCAGCUUGAGUGCUAAGUCUAAUCAGAGUUUAUUCUUUAAUCAGUUUUUCUGUCAAAUUGCAAAGCAACUAUUUGUUUGCAACAGUGCAAAUGUUUUCCCAUAACUAUAGUGUGCUCUAUAAUCAUUAGUAUUUAAAUUAAAUGGUCUUUACUAGGCUUAAGGAAAAUAUAAUAUUAUAUAAUUUGUAUAAUAUAUACAAAUAUGUAAGACAAUGAAAACAAUGAAAAUACAUUUUGUUAUAAUACAGGCUGCUGUAGUUGGAUGAAUUAUAACACAUGUACAGAAUUCUUAGUGUAGCAAGUCAUUAAUUAACAAUUUCAAGAUCAACACAGGAUACUUGAGGCAUGGAUAAACUGUUGGGGGUGUUUAGUAUUAUUGUGGUGGGUGGAUUGGAUUCCACAGAGCUGUAGUACCUACAGAGGGAUAAAGCUGAUGAGCCGUACUGUGGAGAUAUGGGAAAAAUGUGACAAUUAGCGAGCAGCAGCAUGGCUUCACGCUGAGAAAGAGCACUACAGAAGAUUUGUGACAGAAGGAUAGCAGAAAGAGUGAAAGGAAAGGUUUACAAGAUGGUAGUGAUGUAUGGAUUGGAGAUGGUAACACUGACAAAAAGACAUGAGGCAAAGUCAGAGCAACCAGGAUGGUCGAGAUUAGACAGAAUAUCUCAGAGGGACAACUCAGGUUGAGAAGUCUGGACAUGCAGAGAGGCCGAAUAGCAUUGGACAAAUGGGGGAUGACAUCAUUUUUUAUGAUGUCAUCACCCAGGGAAAAUGGGUAAGUGACGCAAUGUUUUCAUUACAUCUUAAAUAAUAAUAAGCGAUGUGAAAUUCCCUUUACUGGGACAGUGAAGGGAAUUUUUGUCGUGUGGUUUCUAGUUCAUGGAACUGUUGGAUUUUCCUGAACGCCAUUUUCCUCUCAUCUGAGGGGAAUCCACACUUGACCCUGUGUGGAUUAGAGAAAAUCCAACUUGCACACCCAGUUCUUGUUUUAAACUAAUUUCCCCUGGAAAAAGAACUGUUGAAAGAAAUUAUUAAAAGCUCCAAAUUGCCACGACAUUCAUGCUCAACACGAGUGUAUGUAAACUGCUGCUUGGGAUUACUUUGGACCAAAGAAGAUGAAAUAACUUCAUUUAUUUUCAAUAAUAUUUUAUAGAUGAGGUGACAUAAUGUGUUUCUCUUCGCCUUGUCAGAGUCCUUCCAAGUGGUGGUGAGAGGAAGUGGAUUCCUUCACGCCCGAAAUGUUGACAAAGUGCUGUGCAGCUUUCGAAUCAACGACACCCUAACUAAGAGCUUUGGGAGUUUGAAUUAAAAGACUUUGAAGGAGACGACGCCAAACCUCUUCUGAAACUGGUAAGUCUAGAACACUCACAAGUAAUUUGGAGAUUUCUUUUUUUACAUAACCUCUGAACAAAACUGCACUGUAAAUGUGUUUUCUGUUUCAGGUAUGGGCAGUGAACAAUAUUAAUAAAAUAAGGGACAUAGCCCGGAUGCUCCUUAAAUUUCCAGAGGCUAUACCUCCUUAAUUUCAGUGGGUCACAUCUGACAUACAAUUAACAGUCCAGCUAAAGUCUUGAAAUAUUUCUGUGGUGCUUUAAAUAUGUUUAAAAGAUAUUUAAAUAGCCUUAUUCUACAGAACACUUAAACUCCUCAGCAUGAUGAACGAUUCCGUUUAAAUUCUUAAAGACAAGAACCAGGAAGUUCUACUUAACAACAUUGCAAACUUUGCACCAGUGCUGCUCAAGACGAUUGCUGGUGUAGCAAAGAAUCACGUAUCCAAUAUCUUUAAGCCCCCUUCAAGUCUUCCAAUGUUUGAUGUUCUUCCAAAUGAAGAACCUCCUUCAGACAGUCCUUCAACGCCCGAUGUUCCACCAGUUGAUAAACUUCCCUCUGAAAAUGUGCCAGUGUUGAAUGUUCUUCCCAGUGAGGAACUCCUUUCUGAAAGUUUGCCAGUGCCUAAUGUUCCCUGUGAGGAACUUUCUGCUGAAACUGCAUCCAUGUCUGAGACAGCUGAGACAGAGGAGUCUGAAGACCUUAAAAUCAAACAGAAGACAAAAAAAGGCUUCUUCCAAAAAUUAAAAAUUCUGUGCAGUUGCUGUGUCAGACCGAAAGAAACUGACUGACAGAGAAACUGAAAUCAAAUUAAAAAAUAUAAUUAAUUAAAAAUAAUAUUUUUUG
This is a long non-coding RNA of Astatotilapia calliptera (eastern happy), 3750 nucleotides long. The record is from Ensembl. NCBI's taxonomy places the organism in Eukaryota, Metazoa, Chordata, Actinopteri, Cichliformes, Cichlidae.